AGAGUUUGAUCAUGGCUCAGAACGAACGCUGGCGGCAUGCCUAACACAUGCAAGUCGAACGAGACCUUCGGGUCUAGUGGCGCACGGGUGCGUAACGCGUGGGAAUCUGCCCUCUGGUUCGGAAUAACUCAGGGAAACUUGAGCUAAUACCGGAUAAUGACUUUGGUCCAAAGAUUUAUCGCCUGAGGAUGAGCCCGCGUCGGAUUAGCUAGUUGGUGAGGUAAAAGCUCACCAAGGCGACGAUCCGUAGCUGGUCUGAGAGGAUGAUCAGCCACACUGGGACUGAGACACGGCCCAGACUCCUACGGGAGGCAGCAGUGGGGAAUAUUGGACAAUGGGCGAAAGCCUGAUCCAGCAAUGCCGCGUGAGUGAUGAAGGCCUUAGGGUUGUAAAGCCCUUUUACCCGGGAUGAUAAUGACAGUACCGGGAGAAUAAGCCCCGGCUAACUUCGUGCCAGCCGCCGCGGUAAUAC
Molecule: ribosomal RNA, 472 nt
Filed under: uncultured bacterium
Lineage: Bacteria
Description: bacterial SSU rRNA
Rfam family: Bacterial small subunit ribosomal RNA
Source: RNAcentral